Molecule: ribosomal RNA, 292 nt
Filed under: uncultured Planctomycetota bacterium
Lineage: Bacteria; Pseudomonadati; Planctomycetota
Description: uncultured planctomycete partial 16S ribosomal RNA
Source: RNAcentral
GGACUACACGGGUAUCUAAUCCCGUUUGCUCCCCUGGCUUUCGCGCCUCAGCGUCAGAAGAGGUCCAGUCGCUCGCUUUCGCCACCGGCGUUCCUUCCUAUAUCAACGCAUUUCACCGCUCCACAGGAAGUUCCAGCGACCCCUACCUCGCUCUAGCCAGUCCGUAUCCAAGGCCCUUUUCCGGUUAAGCCGAAAAAUUUCACCCCGGACGUGACCGGCCGCCUACGCGCCCUUUAAGCCCAGUGAAUCCGAACAACGUUCGCACGGUUCGUCUUACCGCGGCUGCUGGCAC